GAUCGUUGAGGUCCGUGUUGUAUUUUUAGCUUUUUAAUAGUUCUACAUGUAAGUUUUAGCAUAAAAUUUAUUAAUAAUAAAAUUUUAAAAAAGAGAACCUCAGUAGAAAAUAUUAGGUAUAUAAGAAAUUUAUAUCUAGGUAAUUAAGAAGAAGUGGAAAAUGGCGUGCCAGCAGCCGCGGUUAUACUCCUGCUUCGAGUUAAAAUAUAUAAACGAAAUUUUGUUUAUAAAACAUGUAUAAAGGAAUUUUUUUAAAAUUAUUAGGUAGAAUUUUAAUUUUAUGAAAUAACAAUAAAUUAUAAACUAAAAAAUUAUAGUAGGGACCAGGAUUAGAUACCCUGUUACUUAUAAAUAAUAAAUUUCGGAUUAGUAAUAUUAAUGAAAUUUAACGGAUUUGGCGGCAAGAUAGCCAUUUAGAGGAACCUGUCCUAUAAACGAUGAACCACGAAUACUUUACUUUUUUUUGUAAUCAGUUUGUAUACCGCUGUUGUCAGUUAGUUUCUCUAGAAAGCUUUCAUAUAUGAUAAUGUCAUAGACUUCAAGUAAAGGUGCAGCUUAUAUAAAAGUUAGAGGUGGGUUACAUUUAUAAGAAUAAUACGGAUAAGAUAAUGAAAAAAUCUUUGAAGGUGGAUUUAAUUGUAAAGUUUAAUUAAACUUGAUGAGAGCUCUGUCUUGUGUACACACCGCCCGUCGCUCUCUUUUUUAAACGAGAUAAGUCGUAACAAGGUAAGUGUAAUGGAAAUUGUACUUG
This 751-nucleotide non-coding RNA is filed under the name Amphibalanus reticulatus. The record is from RNAcentral. Lineage: Eukaryota; Metazoa; Arthropoda; Thecostraca; Balanomorpha; Balanidae.